UACGGAGGGGGCUAGCGUUGCUCGGAAUCACUGGGCGUAAAGGGCACGUAGGCGGCGCCGUAAGUCGGGUGUGAAAUCCCCGGGCUCAACCCGGGGGCUGCGCCCGAGACUGCGGGGCUGGAGGACGGGAGAGGCUCGCGGAAUUCCCAGUGUAGAGGUGAAAUUCGUAGAUAUUGGGAAGAACACCGGUGGCGAAGGCGGCGAGCUGGCCCGUUUCUGACGCUGAGGCGCGAAAGCGUGGGGAGCAAACAGG
RNAcentral lists this ribosomal RNA (253 nucleotides) under uncultured bacterium. RNAcentral describes it as "partial 16S ribosomal RNA". It matches the Rfam family "Bacterial small subunit ribosomal RNA", at positions 524 to 776 of the family's 1533-position model. The record is from RNAcentral.